GACGAACGCUGGCGGCGUGCUUAACACAUGCAAGUCGAACGAUGAAGCCGGAGCUUGCUCCGGUGGAUUAGUGGCGAACGGGUGAGUAACACGUGAGCAAUCUGCCCUUGACUCUGGGAUAACUGCGGGAAACUGUAGCUAAUACCGGAUACGACACCUUGGGGCAUCCCAGGGUGUGGAAAGAAUUUCGGUCAAGGAUGAGCUCGCGGCCUAUCAGCUAGUUGGUGAGGUAAUGGCUCACCAAGGCGACGACGGGUAGCCGGCCUGAGAGGGUGAUCGGCCACACUGGGACUGAGACACGGCCCAGACUCCUACGGGAGGCAGCAGUGGGGAAUAUUGCACAAUGGGCGCAAGCCUGAUGCAGCAACGCCGCGUGAGGGACGACGGCCUUCGGGUUGUAAACCUCUUUUAGUAGGGAAGAAGCGAAAGUGACGGUACCUGCAGAAAAAGCACCGGCUAACUACGUGCCAGCAGCCGCCGUAA
RNAcentral lists this ribosomal RNA (483 nucleotides) under uncultured bacterium. RNAcentral's name for it is "partial 16S ribosomal RNA". It matches the Rfam family "Bacterial small subunit ribosomal RNA", at positions 28 to 523 of the family's 1533-position model. The record is from RNAcentral.